UCGAACGAGAAGAGAGCUUGCUUUCUGACAGUGGCGGACGGGUGAGUAACACGUGAGCAUCUGCCUUUAGAGGGGGAUACCGAUUGGAAACGAUCGUUAAUACCGCAUAAUAACGCAUGACAAAGAUUUAUCGCUGAAAGAUGAGCUCGCGUCUGAUUAGCUAGUUGGUAAGGUAACGGCUUACCAAGGCGACGAUCAGUAGCCGGACUGAGAGGUUGAUCGGCCACAUUGGGACUGAGACACGGCCCAGACUCCUACGGGAGGCAGCAGUGGGGAAUAUUGCACAAUGGAGGAAACUCUGAUGCAGCGAUGCCGCGUGAGGGAAGAAGGUUUUAGGAUUGUAAACCUCUGUCUUCAGGGACGAAAAAGACGGUACCUGAGGAGGAAGCUCCGGCUAACUACGUGCCAGCAGCCGCGGUAAUACGUAGGGAGCGAGCGUUGUCCGGAAUUACUGGGUGUAAAGGGAGCGUAGGCGGGAUCGCAAGUCAGAUGUGAAAACUAUGGGCUUAACCCAUAAACUGCAUUUGAAACUGUGGUUCUUGAGUGAAGUAGAGGUAAGCGGAAUUCCUAGUGUAGCGGUGAAAUGCGUAGAUAUUAGGAGGAACAUCAGUGGCGAAGGCGGCUUACUGGGCUUUAACUGACGCUGAGGCUCGAAAGCGUGAGGAGCAAACAGGAUUAGAUACCCUGGUAGUCCACGCCGUAAACGAUGAUUACUAGGUGUGGGGGGACUGACCUU
RNAcentral lists this ribosomal RNA (736 nucleotides) under uncultured bacterium. RNAcentral's name for it is "bacterial SSU rRNA". It matches the Rfam family "Bacterial small subunit ribosomal RNA", at positions 62 to 840 of the family's 1533-position model. The record is from RNAcentral.